RNAcentral lists this ribosomal RNA (497 nucleotides) under uncultured bacterium. Its description in RNAcentral is "partial 16S ribosomal RNA". It matches the Rfam family "Bacterial small subunit ribosomal RNA", at positions 28 to 507 of the family's 1533-position model. The record is from RNAcentral.
GAUGAACGCUGGCGGCGUGCCUAAUACAUGCAAGUCGAGCGAACGGACGAGAAGCUUGCUUCUCUGAUGUUAGCGGCGGACGGGUGAGUAACACGUGGAUAACCUACCUAUAAGACUGGGAUAACUUCGGGAAACCGUAGCUAAUACCGUAUAAUAUUUUGAACCGCAUGGUUCAUAAGUGAAAGACGGUCUUGCUGUCACUUAUAGAUGGAUCCGCGCUGCAUUAGCUAGUUGGUAAGGUAACGGCUUACCAAGGCAACGAUGCUUAGCCGACCUGAGAGGGUGAUCGGCCACACUGGAACUGAGACACGGUCCAGACUCCUACGGGAGGCAGCAGUAGGGAAUCUUCCGCAAUGGGCGAAAGCCUGACGGAGCAACGCCGCGUGAGUGAUGAAGGUCUUCGGAUCGUAAAACUCUGUUAUUAGGGAAGAACAUAUGUGUAAGUAACUGUGCACAUCUUGACGGUACCUAAUCAGAAAGCCACGGCUAACUACGUG